AAAACGACUCUCGGCAACGGAUAUCUCGGCUCUCGCAUCGAUGAAGAACGUAGCGAAAUGCGAUACUUGGUGUGAAUUGCAGAAUCCCGUGAAUCAUCGAGUCUUUGAACGCAAGUUGCGCCCGACGCCAUUCGGCCGA
This 139-nucleotide ribosomal RNA is filed under the name Fagus sylvatica subsp. sylvatica. Its description in RNAcentral is "partial 5.8S ribosomal RNA". It matches the Rfam family "5.8S ribosomal RNA", at positions 1 to 132 of the family's 154-position model. From Rfam's summary of the family: 5.8S ribosomal RNA (5.8S rRNA) is a component of the large subunit of the eukaryotic ribosome. The record is from RNAcentral. Lineage: Eukaryota; Viridiplantae; Streptophyta; Magnoliopsida; Fagales; Fagaceae.